RNAcentral lists this non-coding RNA (31 nucleotides) under Mus musculus (house mouse). Lineage: Eukaryota; Metazoa; Chordata; Mammalia; Rodentia; Muridae. The record is from RNAcentral.
AGGAGCUAAGUAUGAAUGAACUGUGUAAUAA